This is a regulatory RNA element of Nonlabens spongiae, 28 nucleotides long. It matches the Rfam family "L19-Flavobacteria ribosomal protein leader". Lineage: Bacteria; Pseudomonadati; Bacteroidota; Flavobacteriia; Flavobacteriales; Flavobacteriaceae. The record is from Rfam.
CAACCUCUGGCGAGAAUCGUGAACGUUG